Cercocebus atys (sooty mangabey) is the source of this 3434-nucleotide RNA transcript. It is a transcript of the gene named splicing factor 3A subunit 3 pseudogene, with no coding region annotated. NCBI's taxonomy places the organism in Eukaryota, Metazoa, Chordata, Mammalia, Primates, Cercopithecidae. The transcript has a single exon. The record is from RefSeq and is a predicted model, not a curated record.
UGUGUGUGUGUGUGUGUGUGUGCAUCUCUCUCUUUCUCUCUCUCUCUCUGGACAGUACAGCAGCAAAAACUGAGUUCCGGAACCAACAAAACUCAAUCCUGAUCUUACGGCAGAAUUAUCUCUUCCCAUUCAGCUCAGUCCACCUGAAAUGAUAAAACAGCCCCAUUCUCCAAUGCUCAAAACGUUGAUGUGAGUUUCGUUAGUUUCUUCCUGUGCUUGAUAUCCCAUUCAUCACAUGUAUGAACAAUUUAUGACAUAACUGCCAUCAAAGACUUCCUUAGAUGUAUUCCCUCAUCUCUAUUCCCACUCUACCCCAAGCUCAAAAAUAAUUCAUGGUAAUCUUAUUGCCAACACUGCUGGCUACCUUCAGCAGCUUCUGAGACCAGCCCACAAAGUCUACUAAGCACCUUACAGCAGAACAACAUUCCUAAAGCACCAAUGUCACCAUGUCACUACCCUUGUCAAUAUUUAGAAUAACUCUAUACAGACUGUAGAAUGAAGUCUGAACUCCUCCUGUUCCUGACAUUCUAACUAUUAAGAAUGUCCAUCCUUCUCCUCUCACCUGCCAAGCCAAUUCUCAUGGUCCUCCAGACACUCGGUGCCCACUCUUACCUCUCGUGUGCUUUUGCUCCUACCGUAUUCCCCCUCCUUCCCGGAGAACACGCACACACGCACACACACACACACACACACACACACACAUUCCCCUAUCUAGAAUAUGCUUUCAACCCUUUUUGUAUAUUCAACAACCAGAAUCUCUCACAGGGCCCUGAAUAUUAGGCAAAAAUAAGCAUAAAUAAGGGUUACAUUCAACCUGUUGGCUAUCAGGUCUCUGUAACUAUAAUCUCUUUGAAAGAGUCCAUGUAAAUAUAUAGCAAUGAAAGAAAAGAAAAGGCAAUGGGCAAAGAUAAAGAAAAGAAGUUUAAGGAUCCUGAUAUUUAACUGCACUCCUCUUAGUCAUCUGAUACCUUUCAUUUACAUUCAACCUUACACUUUCCAGAAAUUUUUUAUGGUUAUUUAAGACUACAAAGACCUAUACAAUCUUGCUUCUACCCAUAAAUGAAGAAAAAAGAAUACUAGCAGAUACUUAGAUAAGUUUUGGGGGUUGAACAGACAAGAUUUCACAAUAGUUUGCAAGUGAGUAAAUGGGAAUAAAGAAAACACCCAGGUUUCUAGCCUGCGUGGUCUCAUACAAGUGCUAAUAAAACUGAGGGUCAAACAGGCUUGGAGUAAAAAUUAAAAGUUCAGUGUUACAGUAUUCGAAGUCCCCAGACUGAGAAGAAUAUCUGAGUUUCAGGUAUAUAUACAGAAGACGAUUGAGUGCAGAUGCAGAGCAAGUGCCCAGAAGAACUCUGACUUUUACAAGCCAGAAGAAGACAAAGUCUGCAAAUGAGCAGUCAGUCAAGCAUGGCAAAAAAGAAACAGAGCACGGAGUCCCAGAAAUCCAGAAGCAAGUUUGCAAAAAGGAAGCAGUGAAAUGUUAUGAAGUUUUGUAAGACAAGGCCAGAGAAUUAACCACUGGAUUUGACAAGCUAUGGACACUGCUGCUCCUAUGAUCUCUGACAGUCACAAGUUACAGAGAAAAUUGGAAGUGAGGAAGUAGGACAAGAGAACAAUUUCAUUUGCAGGAGUUUUGUUGUAAAAUGAAACAUAGAAAUGAGGCCACAUUUGGAGAAGUCAUGGGAGAUAAAAGAAGGGUUUUUUUUUUCCACCCAGAGAGCUAAUAAUCUACAGAUAAUUAUUAGAAUAAAUAAAAUACUUUAGGAAAGGUGCAAAAAGUCCAUUGCAUGUCCUUUAACCAGCAGCAAACAACUAAUUAUAAACAUUUUAAGAGAGGCUGCGGCUAAGAAAAGAUGGAGACAAUACUGGUGCAGCAGCAGUGCUAUCAUAAGAAGGAAAGGCUCAUGGAUGUCAUGGCCAAAGAGAUGCUGACUAAGAAGUCCACGCUCCGGGACCAGAUCAAUUCUGAUCACCGCACUCAGGUCAUACAAGACAGGUAUAUGGAGGUCAGUGGGAACCCAAGGGAUUUGUAUGAUGAUAAAGAUGGAUUACGAAAGGAGGAGCUCAAUGCCAUUUCAGGACCCAAUGAGUUUGCUGAAUUCUAUAAUAGACUCAAGCAAAUAAAGGAAUUCCACCGGAAGCCCCCAAAUGAGAUCUGUGUGCCAAUGUCAGUGGAAUUUGAGGAGCUCCUGAAGACUUCGAGAGAAUCUAAGUUAAGAGGCACAAAACUUGGUGGAGUUCACAGAUGAAGAGGGAUGUGGUCGUUACCUCGAUCUCCAUGACUGUUACCUCAAGUACAUUAACCUGAAGGCAUCUGAGAAGAUGGAUUAUAUCACAUACCCGUCCAUCUUUGACCAAUUAUUUGACAUGCCUAAAGAAAGGAAGAAUGCAGAGUGUAAGACAUACCUAGAGAUGCUGCUUGAGUACCUUCAGGAUUACAUAGAUAGAGUGAAGCCUCUCCAAGACCAGAAUGAACUUUUUGGGAAGAUUCAGGCUGAGUCUGAGAAGAAAUGGGAGAAUGGGACCUUUCCUGGAUGGCAGAAAGAGACAAGCGGUGCUCUGACCCAUGCUGGAGCCCAUCUUGACCUCUCCGCAUUCUCCUCCAGGGAGGAGUUGGCCUCUCUGGGUUUGGACAGAUUGAAAUCUGCUCUCUUAGCUUUAGGCUUGAAAUGUGGCGGGACCCUAGAACAGCGAGUCCAGAGACUAUUCAGCACCAAAGGAAAGUCCCUGGAGUCACCUGAUAACUCUGUCUGCCAAAAAUCCCAAGUCAAAGAGCACCAAGCGAGACACUGAGAGGAACAAAGACACUGCUUUUCUAGAAGCCCAGAUCUAUGUAUACUCUGACUCAUGGGGAACAGCGACAUCUCACUCAUGAAUAUGUACAGCGCAAGCAAGCAAGGACAGGAGAAGAGCAAGAAGAGGAAGAAGAGCAGAUCAGUGAGAGUGAGAGUGAACAUGAAAAGAACGAGAUCAUUUACAACCCCAAAAACCUGCCACUUGGCUGGGAUGGCAAACCCAUUCCCUACUGGCUGUAUAAGUUUCAUGGCCUAAAUAUCAACUAUAACUGUGAGAUUUGUGGAAACUACACCUACCAAGGGCCCAAAGCCUUCCAGCAACACUUUGCUGAAUGGCAUCAUGUUCAUGGCAUGAGGUGUUUGGGCAUCCCGAGCACUGCUCACUUUGCUAAUGUGACACAGAUUGAAGAUGCUGUCUCCUUGUGGGCCAAACUCAAAUUGCAGAAGGCUUCAGAAUGAUGGCAGCCUGACACUGAGGAAGAAUAUGAAGACUCAAGUGGGAAUGUUGUGAAUAAGAAGACAUAUGAGGAUCUGAAAAGACAAGGACUGCUCUAGUGUUCAGGGAUGUAGCUCAGCUUUUGGGCUAGCCCAGGCUUCCCUGAGAUCUGCUUUUUCUUUUUCUCCCAACCAAAUCCUCUU